CACCGCGGCGAGAUGUUAACGCCGAAGAGGCCUGUCUUGGCCUACUCUUCCACCCUGGCCCAGGCGUCUUUGUAAGCCGUGGGAGUGCCCCACACUUUACACCACCACCACGACCACCACCACCACCACCCCACGCGACCUGCCCGAUCAGAUCAUAGACCUCGCUGUAGGUGGAUUCAGUUUUGUGUUUGUUUACACCUCUGCUGGAUGGACAGACGCGAAGGUCGGAGGGAGGAGGAGUGAUUCGAGAAACGUGCAGCGUUGUCCCAAGUGCCGUGACGGGAGUUCGGUCCGAGGAUUCGAGCCGGCGGCCUCUGCGGACCCCGGUAUCCUCCCUCCCUCUCUCCCUUCUCCCGGGGAGAGGAGGUUGACUGGACACGAGGAGGAGGCUGAAGAGGAGGAGUGGGAGGAAGGGACAUGGGUAGACGUGCGGUGGAAAGUUAAGGAGGAGUUAUAACGGCUGUCGUCAUCAACAACAUCAACAACAGCAACAUCGACAAGAACGUCAUCAUCAACAACAUCAACAACAUCAACAACAUCAUCAUCGUCGUCUACGGGCUCUGAAGCACAACCCGCAAGUCGCCUGCCUCGGGUGUCUUCCUCUCGCUUAUGCGCCUCCAUCACCACCACCACCAUCAUCAGCAGCAGCAGCAGAUAUCUCGAUCAUAAUCAUCACUUCUUACGAUCUUCAUCUUGACUAACAAAUCACCAUCCGCUCGGUCACAAUCAACAACAACAUCAUCAUCAUCAGCAGCUCCACCCUCAUCAAUAUCAUCAGAGCCAUCGCCCCCACUAUUGUCAUCACCAUCAGCAACAACAACAUCAUCACACCCAUCAUCACCCCCUCCUCCCCUGCCCAUCCAUCACCUUCGCUCGCCACCACUCCCAUCACCAGGCACCCCGCGAUGGCCACCGUGGACCCCGCGUCUCGCCUCGCGGGGACUCUGCGGGCCCCCUCCUCCUCCUCCUCCUCCUCGCUCUCCCACGCCGACCUCGCCACGGCCGUGCCGGGGCUGCCCCCCAUCGGCGUCUCCUCGGACCCCGCGUGCCACGCUCCUCCCGGCGGCCUCCCCACCCCUCCAUCGUCCGCCUCCUCCUCGUCCUCCUCCUCGUCGUCCGCCG
Petromyzon marinus (sea lamprey) is the source of this 1122-nucleotide non-coding RNA. NCBI's taxonomy places the organism in Eukaryota, Metazoa, Chordata, Hyperoartia, Petromyzontiformes, Petromyzontidae. The record is from RefSeq and is a predicted model, not a curated record.